Molecule: ribosomal RNA, 410 nt
Filed under: uncultured microorganism
Description: bacterial SSU rRNA
Rfam family: Bacterial small subunit ribosomal RNA
Source: RNAcentral
CAGCAGCCGCGGUAAUACGUAGGGGGCGAGCGUUGUCCGGAAUUACUGGGCGUAAAGGGCGUGUAGGCGGCCUGUUAAGUCAGGGGUGAAAGGCCGGGGCUCAACCCCGGGGGUGCCUCUGAAACUGGCGGGCUUGAGUGCUCUAGAGGGCAGUGGAAUUCCCGGUGUAGCAGUGAAAUGCGUAGAGAUCGGGAGGAACACCAGUGGCGAAGGCGGCUGCCUGGGGAGUCACUGACGCUGAGGCGCGAAAGCUAGGGGAGCAAACAGGAUUAGAUACCCUGGUAGUCCUAGCCGUAAACGAUGAGCGCUAUGUGUGAGGGGUAUCGACCCCCCUCGUGCAGUAGCUAACGCAUUAAGCGCUCCGCCUGGGGAGUACGGCCGCAAGGUUGAAACUUAAAGGAAUUGGCGGG